Trichonephila inaurata madagascariensis is the source of this 76-nucleotide non-coding RNA. Lineage: Eukaryota; Metazoa; Arthropoda; Arachnida; Araneae; Nephilidae. The record is from the annotation of a GenBank genome assembly.
GACCCUGUAACACGUGGAUAGUGCAUUGGACUUUUAAUUCAAAGAUCGUGGGUUCAAAUCUCACCUGGGAUGGCCU